CCGAUUGAGCUGGGGGGCAGGAGAGCUGGAGCUGGUUGGGGCCGCGGGGAGCGCGAGAAAGGUGGAGCUGGGGGGUGGUCGGGGCCAAGGGGGAGCGCGAGAAAGGUGGAGCUGGGGUUGGUCACCGCCUGUCUGUGGUGGGGGAGGUGAGAGGUGGAGCUGGGGUUGGUCAAAGCCUGCCUGGGAAGGGUGGGGUGAGAGGUGGAGCUGGGGUAGGGUGACCAGGUGUCCGGUUUUGGACCAGAACACCCAGUCGAAAAGGAAUCCUGACAGCUCCAGUCAGCACCACUGACCAGGCCGCUGAAUGUCCGGUUUGGGGCACCACAGCAGGGCUGGCAGGCUCCCUGCCAGUGCCCAGCCCACGCAACGCCCGGGUCAGGAAGCAACCGGCAUAUCCGACUCCUAGCCUUAGGGGCUGCCGGGAGGUCCACGUACUGCCUUGCCCACAGGCGCAGCUCCCAUUGGCUGGGUCAGGGCAGGAAAAGAACUAGCGCCACUUGAGAGCGCUCAGCAGGCAGCUGUUUAGGGGUCACGAGGCGUGCGCUUCUCCCUUCGCUGCCCGGCCCUCUUCUCCUCGCGCGGCUGGGCUCAAGCUGAAGCACAUGCCCUGCAGUAAACCAUGCGGUCUGUCGCCCCAUCGCCAGCACCCAGGAGUUGGAGGUACAGGGAGCCCUGCAGUAUGCAGCGGGGAGGGGAGGACAGGACUCCAAAGAAGAUGCAAACCAUGCCUGCCCGGUGAGCACAGCAGAUGAAAGGGACGGGAGCUCACAGCCUUUGGCAUGGUGACCUUGAAAGGUGCCCCCUCCAUACCAGUUGAAUGUCUGACCCACAUCAGGCAAAAAAAGAAGCAAACUAGGAAGGAUAUGCUAUGUGAGAUCCUCCAGUUGUUUAUAGCCGUGAACAGAGAGACUGGAGGGGCUGAAUGUACAAGACCAGGGAGAACUAAGAACUGCUGGAGGAGAGUCAAAUGGACCGAGAGGUGCAGCAGGAAGUGCACUAUGAUAUUAUGGCUUUGAUCAGAUUCAGUGCUUGCAGGUGGGGAAGUACUGAAUUGCCAAUUAGAAGUGCCUAGCGCAUUUCCCAGAUAUCUGGGUGGGAGAUGGAGUCUGUUUUGUAAUUUUAAGAGGAAUCCCUAGACAUUGACCCCAGCCCUGGUUGCUGCUGACACCAUCUGGCAGAAGGAUUAUACAUUUUUUUAAUCUUGGUUUUUAUAAGUAUCCUAUUAUAUUGCUUCUGAAAUGUUUUUAACUUUGUGUAGUUGAACUUUAACUUUAUCUCUUGUGUGCACACAAUAUAAUUACAUUUUGUGAAACAAGGCAUAUUUAUUAGUUAACACCAAGCAUAAAUGCCACAUUACAAAAAGUGGGGGUUAUAAUGAAUCACAAAUUGAGUGUCAACACUCUAAUUCAGUUGUGAAAAAGGCUAAUAUCAUUUUUGGGUGUAUUAAUAGGAGUGUCGUAUGUAAGAUGCAGGAGAUAAUCGUCCCACUCUACGUGGCACUAGUGAAGCCUCAGCUGGAGUAGUGUGUCCAAUUCUGGGUUCCACCAGUAGCGUAGCUGGGGGGGGGGAGCGGCCGCUCCCGCACUGAGCACAAGUGGCACCUUGUCAAUUUCCUGGCGCCUUUGUACUCACCCCGGGGGGGCAAUUUAAAA
Chrysemys picta bellii (western painted turtle) is the source of this 1652-nucleotide long non-coding RNA. RefSeq lists it as uncharacterized. NCBI's taxonomy places the organism in Eukaryota, Metazoa, Chordata, Testudines, Emydidae. The record is from RefSeq and is a predicted model, not a curated record.